AGGACCGGGAUGGACGUACCUCUGGUGUACCAGUUGUCCUGCCAAGGGCAUGGCUGGGUAGCUAUGUACGGAAUGGAUAAGCGCUGAAAGCAUCUAAGCGCGAAGCCAACUUCAAGAUAAGAUUUCCAACCGCAAGGGUAAGACCCCAGAAAGACUAUCUGGUUGAUAGGUCGAAGGUGUAAGUGCAGCAAUGUAUUUAGCUUAUCGAUACUAAUAGGUCGAGGACUUGACCAAU
This 235-nucleotide ribosomal RNA is filed under the name Clostridioides difficile. RNAcentral's name for it is "partial 23S ribosomal RNA". It matches the Rfam family "Bacterial large subunit ribosomal RNA", at positions 2688 to 2925 of the family's 2925-position model. Lineage: Bacteria; Bacillati; Bacillota; Clostridia; Peptostreptococcales; Peptostreptococcaceae. The record is from RNAcentral.